UACGUGAGGGGCGAACGUUGUUCGGUGUCACUGGGCUUAAAGGGUGCGUAGGUGGUUGCGUAAGUAACGUGUGAAAUCCCUCGGCUUACCCGGGGAAUUGCGCGUUAUACUGCGUGACUUGAGGAUUUCAGGGGAAUGGGGAACUCCAGGUGUAGCGGUGAAAUGCGCAGAUAUCUGGGGGAAGGCCGGCGGCGAAGGCGCCAGUCUGGGAAAUUCCUGACACUGAGGCACGAAAGCGGGGGGAGCAAACAGG
RNAcentral lists this ribosomal RNA (253 nucleotides) under uncultured bacterium. RNAcentral's name for it is "partial 16S ribosomal RNA". It matches the Rfam family "Bacterial small subunit ribosomal RNA", at positions 524 to 776 of the family's 1533-position model. The record is from RNAcentral.